CCGGCGCACGGGUGAGUAACGCGUAUGCGACCUGCCCGUUGCAGGGGGGAUAAUCGGGAGAAAUCCCGUCUAAUACCGCGUAACGCCGCGGGGCUGCAUGGCCCUGCGGCCAAAGGGAGCGAUUCCGGCAACGGAUGGGCAUGCGUGACAUUAGCUAGUUGGCGGGGCAACGGCCCACCAAGGCGACGAUGUCUAGGGGUUCUGAGAGGAAGGCCCCCCACACUGGGACUGAGACACGGCCCAGACUCCUACGGGAGGCAGCAG
RNAcentral lists this ribosomal RNA (264 nucleotides) under uncultured bacterium. Its description in RNAcentral is "partial 16S ribosomal RNA". It matches the Rfam family "Bacterial small subunit ribosomal RNA", at positions 95 to 354 of the family's 1533-position model. The record is from RNAcentral.